GGGCCGGACAGUCGCGGGCGCAGCGCCGAAAGGCCGCGCGUGAGGAAAGUCCGGGCUCCGCAGGGCAAGGAUAACGGGUAACGCCCGCCCAGAGCGAUCUGAGGAAAAGUGCAACAGAGAGAUACCACCGGAGCUGUCCGCAGUUCCGGAAAGGGUGGAAAGGCGAGGUAAGAGCUCACCCGAUGGCGCGUGAAAGUGUCCAUCGCUGUAAACUCUAUCCGGAGCAACACCGCAGAGGAGACAAGGCUGGCCCGGCUGUCUCCGAGAAGGUGGCUGGAGCGUAUCGGCAACGGUACGCCUAGAUAGAUGACUGUCAAAACAGAACCCGGCUUACAGGCCCGAUC
This 344-nucleotide RNase P RNA is filed under the name human gut metagenome. RNAcentral describes it as "Bacterial RNase P class A". It matches the Rfam family "Bacterial RNase P class A". Rfam says of the family: Ribonuclease P (RNase P) is a ubiquitous endoribonuclease, found in archaea, bacteria and eukarya as well as chloroplasts and mitochondria. Its best characterised activity is the generation of mature 5'-ends of tRNAs by cleaving the 5'-leader elements of precursor-tRNAs. The record is from RNAcentral.